RNAcentral lists this ribosomal RNA (1412 nucleotides) under Lactiplantibacillus plantarum. RNAcentral describes it as "bacterial SSU rRNA". It matches the Rfam family "Bacterial small subunit ribosomal RNA". Lineage: Bacteria; Bacillati; Bacillota; Bacilli; Lactobacillales; Lactobacillaceae. The record is from RNAcentral.
GCAGUCGAACGAACUCUGGUAUUGAUUGGUGCUUGCAUCAUGAUUUACAUUUGAGUGAGUGGCGAACUGGUGAGUAACACGUGGGAAACCUGCCCAGAAGCGGGGGAUAACACCUGGAAACAGAUGCUAAUACCGCAUAACAACUUGGACCGCAUGGUCCGAGCUUGAAAGAUGGCUUCGGCUAUCACUUUUGGAUGGUCCCGCGGCGUAUUAGCUAGAUGGUGGGGUAACGGCUCACCAUGGCAAUGAUACGUAGCCGACCUGAGAGGGUAAUCGGCCACAUUGGGACUGAGACACGGCCCAAACUCCUACGGGAGGCAGCAGUAGGGAAUCUUCCACAAUGGACGAAAGUCUGAUGGAGCAACGCCGCGUGAGUGAAGAAGGGUUUCGGCUCGUAAAACUCUGUUGUUAAAGAAGAACAUAUCUGAGAGUAACUGUUCAGGUAUUGACGGUAUUUAACCAGAAAGCCACGGCUAACUACGUGCCAGCAGCCGCGGUAAUACGUAGGUGGCAAGCGUUGUCCGGAUUUAUUGGGCGUAAAGCGAGCGCAGGCGGUUUUUUAAGUCUGAUGUGAAAGCCUUCGGCUCAACCGAAGAAGUGCAUCGGAAACUGGGAAACUUGAGUGCAGAAGAGGACAGUGGAACUCCAUGUGUAGCGGUGAAAUGCGUAGAUAUAUGGAAGAACACCAGUGGCGAAGGCGGCUGUCUGGUCUGUAACUGACGCUGAGGCUCGAAAGUAUGGGUAGCAAACAGGAUUAGAUACCCUGGUAGUCCAUACCGUAAACGAUGAAUGCUAAGUGUUGGAGGGUUUCCGCCCUUCAGUGCUGCAGCUAACGCAUUAAGCAUUCCGCCUGGGGAGUACGGCCGCAAGGCUGAAACUCAAAGGAAUUGACGGGGGCCCGCACAAGCGGUGGAGCAUGUGGUUUAAUUCGAAGCUACGCGAAGAACCUUACCAGGUCUUGACAUACUAUGCAAAUCUAAGAGAUUAGACGUUCCCUUCGGGGACAUGGAUACAGGUGGUGCAUGGUUGUCGUCAGCUCGUGUCGUGAGAUGUUGGGUUAAGUCCCGCAACGAGCGCAACCCUUAUUAUCAGUUGCCAGCAUUAAGUUGGGCACUCUGGUGAGACUGCCGGUGACAAACCGGAGGAAGGUGGGGAUGACGUCAAAUCAUCAUGCCCCUUAUGACCUGGGCUACACACGUGCUACAAUGGAUGGUACAACGAGUUGCGAACUCGCGAGAGUAAGCUAAUCUCUUAAAGCCAUUCUCAGUUCGGAUUGUAGGCUGCAACUCGCCUACAUGAAGUCGGAAUCGCUAGUAAUCGCGGAUCAGCAUGCCGCGGUGAAUACGUUCCCGGGCCUUGUACACACCGCCCGUCACACCAUGAGAGUUUGUAACACCCAAAGUCGGUGGGGU